RNAcentral lists this ribosomal RNA (609 nucleotides) under uncultured Gammaproteobacteria bacterium. Its description in RNAcentral is "bacterial SSU rRNA". It matches the Rfam family "Bacterial small subunit ribosomal RNA", at positions 316 to 915 of the family's 1533-position model. Lineage: Bacteria; Pseudomonadati; Pseudomonadota; Gammaproteobacteria. The record is from RNAcentral.
AAACUUAAAGGAAUUGACGGACUCCUACGGGAGGCAGCAGUCGAGGAUCUUCGGCAAUGGGCGCAAGCCUGACCGAGCGACGCCGCGUGUGCGAAGAAGGCCUUCGGGUUGUAAACCGCUUUUAGCCGGGAAGAAAAGGCCACGGAUAACACCCGUGGUUCUUGACGGUACUGGCGGAAUAAGCACCGGCUAACUACGUGCCAGCAGCCGCGGUAAUACGUAGGGUGCGAGCGUUAAUCGGAAUUACUGGGCGUAAAGCGUGCGUAGGUGGUUCGUUAAGUCUGUCGUGAAAGCCCCGGGCUCAACCUGGGAAUGGCGAUGGAUACUGGCGGGCUAGAGUGCGGUAGAGGAGAGUGGAAUUCCCGGUGUAGCAGUGAAAUGCGUAGAGAUCCGGAGGAAGACCGGUGGCGAAGGCGGUCUGCUGGGCAGUUUCUGACACUGAUGCGCGACAGCGUGGGGAGCAAACAGGAUUAGAUACCCUGGUAGUCCACGCCGUAAACGAUGGGUACUAGGUGCCUGGGGGAGCGACCCUCUGGGUGCCGCAGCUAACGCAUUAAGUGAACCGCCUGGGGAGUAUGGUCGCAAGGCUGAAACUUAAAGGAAUUGACG